AUUUCAAUCCAUAGUAAAUAACUUAUACAUAAUUUAUAAAAUUAAAAAAUAUAUUAAAAAUGAGCAAUACCAACGGAAAUCCUCCACGCAAAAAUUAUACUGAGAGAGAGAGAAAUGUUUGCUGUUGGAAAUAAUUGGAAAAUACAAGCAUGUUAUAAUUGAAAACAAAUAAUAAUGUACCAAUGAUAUGUCCACCAACCAAAACAAUGAAACCUGGGAAAAAAUAGCGCUGAAUUUCCCAGAACUCCCAAGCAGCUGAAGACUGCAUAUAUAAACUUAAAAAGGGUCACUCGCCAAAAAGUAGUAGAGGAAAAUGUAAGUGUAUAAAACUUUCGGUUGAUUUAGAGCUAUAUGGAUUAAUUACAUUGCAUAUUCAAAAAUAUAAUGAGCAGAAGGUUUUGGACCAGUUGAAGAGAGACCAAACUGCGGACAAAAAAGACAUACUUGCAACAGGUGGUGGCACAUUUAGGCCUCGUCUCACAGAUGUACGGGCACAAAUGUUGAGUUUGAUUGGCAAUCAAAUCCAACCUUUAUGCAACAGUUGUGACAGUGCAUCUGGUUUCUUCAGAUCUGUUGCACAAGAUAGUCAAGUGGAAGUGGAUUACCUACAAUUGGAAGACACAUAGCAGACGUCCAAUGUACCCUCUACUUCCACUGUGCUGCUCAGUACACGCACGACAGCUGCUGUCCUGCCCAAGAAGACAGCCAAGAUGUCUCAGGCUCGUUCAAAAAAUAAAAAAGUAAAAGAUCUAGGGAGCGAAACCCUUAAUGUAUCUUUUACAAAAAAAAAUUGAAACAGCAAGACUAGAAAAAAGAAGUAAGAUAGUAUUUUUCAACAAGAAAAAAAGAAAUUUUAGAAGUAGAGCUUCAAAUAAAAAAAUUCAAACUCAAUAAAUUAUUAGGUAAUAGUGGUUAGGUAUGUACCUAAUA
Diabrotica virgifera virgifera (western corn rootworm) is the source of this 930-nucleotide long non-coding RNA. RefSeq lists it as uncharacterized. Lineage: Eukaryota; Metazoa; Arthropoda; Insecta; Coleoptera; Chrysomelidae. The record is from RefSeq and is a predicted model, not a curated record. The transcript has 4 exons.